AUUGAACGCUGGCGGCAGGCCUAACACAUGCAAGUCGAGCGGAUGAAGGGAGCUUGCUCCUGGAUUCAGCGGCGGACGGGUGAGUAAUGCCUAGGAAUCUGCCUGGUAGUGGGGGAUAACGUCCGGAAACGGGCGCUAAUAUCGCAUACGUCCUGAGGGAGAAAGUGGGGGAUCUUCGGACCUCACGCUAUCAGAUGAGCCUAGGUCGGAUUAGCUAGUUGGUGGGGUAAAGGCCUACCAAGGCGACGAUCCGUAACUGGUCUGAGAGGAUGAUCAGUCACACUGGAACUGAGACACGGUCCAGACUCCUACGGGAGGCAGCAGUGGGGAAUAUUGGACAAUGGGCGAAAGCCUGAUCCAGCCAUGCCGCGUGUGUGAAGAAGGUCUUCGGAUUGUAAAGCACUUUAAGUUGGGAGGAAGGGCAGUAAGUUAAGACCUUGCUGUUUUGACGUUACCAACAGAAUAAGCACCGGCUAACUUCGU
This 483-nucleotide ribosomal RNA is filed under the name uncultured bacterium. RNAcentral's name for it is "partial 16S ribosomal RNA". It matches the Rfam family "Bacterial small subunit ribosomal RNA", at positions 30 to 506 of the family's 1533-position model. The record is from RNAcentral.